GAAUAUUGGACAAUGGGGGGAACCCUGAUCCAGCCAUGCCGCGUGGGUGAAGAAGGCCUUUUGGUUGUAAAGCACUUUAAGCGAGGAGGAGGAGCUCUUGGUUAAUACCCAAGAUGCUUGGACGAUACUCGCAGAAUAGGCACCGGCUCACUCUGUGCCAGCAGCCGGGGUAAUUAAGGGGGGUCAAGCGUUAAUCGGAGUUACUGGGCGUAAAGCGGGGGUAGGUGGCCAAUUAAGUCAAAUGUUAAAUCCCCGAGCUUAACUUGGGGAUUGCAUUCGAUACUGGUUGGCUAGAGUAUGGGAGAGGAUGGUAGAAUUCCAGGUGUAGCGGUGAAAUGCGUAGAGAUCUGGAGGAAUACCGAUGGCGAAGGCAGCCAUCUGGCCUAAUACUGACACUGAGGUGCGAAAGCAUGGGGAGCAAACA
RNAcentral lists this ribosomal RNA (424 nucleotides) under uncultured bacterium. Its description in RNAcentral is "partial 16S ribosomal RNA". It matches the Rfam family "Bacterial small subunit ribosomal RNA", at positions 359 to 774 of the family's 1533-position model. The record is from RNAcentral.